This 380-nucleotide long non-coding RNA is filed under the name Triticum aestivum (bread wheat). RNAcentral describes it as "long non-coding RNA (TAES_LNC006981)". Lineage: Eukaryota; Viridiplantae; Streptophyta; Magnoliopsida; Poales; Poaceae. The record is from RNAcentral.
AGGUUACCGUCCUUUGCGAUGAUGAGUGGAGGUGUUCUUGGUGUAGAUACCAAGAUGAUGGAGACUCGUCCCUAAGUAGCCGAAACACCUUAGGAAACGGAAAAACCGCAAACUCAAAAUCUCAAAUGACAAAUGUCAAAUGGUGGUAGCGGAAAGCGGUGGUGGUGUUGCACUAGGCAAUGCGGAUGGAAUGAUGGGCUAUACACAUGUCAAAGUUGAAGCUACCGUCCCUAAGUAGCCGAAACACCUUAGGAGACACAAGCCACAACUCAAACAAGCUCAAACAACUAUUGGGUUAAGUUGGGUUGUCGGAAGUGUAUGGUGGGCAAGGUUAUGUGGAAGUGGUGGUGGUGGUUGAUGAAGAAGCAAUCGUCCCUAAG